This 544-nucleotide ribosomal RNA is filed under the name uncultured bacterium. RNAcentral's name for it is "bacterial SSU rRNA". It matches the Rfam family "Bacterial small subunit ribosomal RNA", at positions 777 to 1320 of the family's 1533-position model. The record is from RNAcentral.
AAUAGAUACCCGGGUAGUCCACGCCGUAAACGAUGAGUGCUAAGUGUUGGGGGUUUCCGCCCCUCAGUGCUGCAGCUAACGCAUUAAGCACUCCGCCUGGGGAGUACGGUCGCAAGACUGAAACUCAAAGGAAUUGACGGGGGCCCGCACAAGCGGUGGAGCAUGUGGUUUAAUUCGAAGCAACGCGAAGAACCUUACCAGGUCUUGACAUCCCGGUGACCACUAUGGAGACAUAGUUUCCCCUUCGGGGGCAACGGUGACAGGUGGUGCAUGGUUGUCGUCAGCUCGUGUCGUGAGAUGUUGGGUUAAGUCCCGCAACGAGCGCAACCCUUAUUCUUAGUUGCCAUCAUUCAGUUGGGCACUCUAAGGAGACUGCCGGUGAUAAACCGGAGGAAGGUGGGGAUGACGUCAAAUCAUCAUGCCCCUUAUGACCUGGGCUACACACGUGCUACAAUGGACGGUACAAACGGUUGCCAACCCGCGAGGGGGAGCUAAUCCGAUAAAACCGUUCUCAGUUCGGAUUGUAGGCUGCAACUCGCCUACA